RNAcentral lists this ribosomal RNA (460 nucleotides) under uncultured Bacteroidota bacterium. RNAcentral describes it as "uncultured Bacteroidetes bacterium partial 16S ribosomal RNA". The record is from RNAcentral. Lineage: Bacteria; Pseudomonadati; Bacteroidota.
GACUACAGGGGUAUCUAAUCCUGUUCGAUCCCCACGCUUUCGUGCAUCAGCGUCAGUGUCAGUUUAGUAAGCUGCCUUCGCAAUCGGUGUUCUGUGUAAUAUCUAAGCAUUUCACCGCUACACUACACAUUCCGCUUACCUCAACUGAACUCAAGCUCUUCAGUAUCAAUGGCAAUUCUAUCGUUGAGCGACAGGAUUUCACCACUGACUUAAAAAGCCGCCUACGCACCCUUUAAACCCAAUGAAUCCGGAUAACGCUUGCAUCCUCCGUAUUACCGCGGCUGCUGGCACGGAGUUAGCCGAUGCUUAUUCAUACAGUACCGGCAGGUCCCUACACGUAGGGAUUUUUCUUCCUGUAUAAAAGCAGUUUACAACCCAUAGGGCCGUCAUCCUGCACGCGGGAUGGCUGGUUCAGGCUUGCGCCCAUUGACCAAUAUUCCUCACUGCAGCCUCCCGUAGG